RNAcentral lists this unclassified non-coding RNA (211 nucleotides) under Hevea brasiliensis (rubber tree). Lineage: Eukaryota; Viridiplantae; Streptophyta; Magnoliopsida; Malpighiales; Euphorbiaceae. The record is from RNAcentral.
AGAGCAUAUUUGGUGGUUGUACGGUAUUGCAGCCUAUUUGAGCUUGUUAACAAGCUUAGCAGAGCAGCACUAACGUGGGUGAUUAAGCUGCGAGGUUUUGAUUUCAGUUUGGUUUUUUGUAAUAAUCGGAAUCAUAAUUAAAAUUCAAUNUUUUCAUUUUUUAGAAUUAGAGGAGAAAUCAAAUUUUAGUUUUAAUUUCGGUUCAAAAAAA